RNAcentral lists this small nuclear RNA (19 nucleotides) under Arabidopsis thaliana (thale cress). RNAcentral's name for it is "snRNA_15407". The record is from RNAcentral. Lineage: Eukaryota; Viridiplantae; Streptophyta; Magnoliopsida; Brassicales; Brassicaceae.
CGCCUUUCUUCACUCCCCU